This is a long non-coding RNA of Marmota flaviventris (yellow-bellied marmot), 387 nucleotides long. RefSeq lists it as uncharacterized. Lineage: Eukaryota; Metazoa; Chordata; Mammalia; Rodentia; Sciuridae. The record is from RefSeq and is a predicted model, not a curated record.
CUGGGGCGACCCGGGAGAGGGAGGGGUCCCGGUGGCGCAGGCUCCCCACCCCCCCCGGAAUCUGAAUUAAUUUAAGUGGACCUUCGGCGCGCCUGAGUGCUGUCCAGCCGGGCGGUAAUCAUCUACUGUUGUGGCCUUGGCGAACCUCUAGACACUGACUUCCAAACUUUCAGCUGAGCUCUCUGCUGAGGUCCAGACUUGCAUAACCAACUACUUAACUGAGACCACCACUGGGAGUCCUCAGAUCCAUCUCAAAUCCAUCCUGUAAGAAUGCUGUUUUCAUCUUCCUCCCUAACCAGCUUCUCAGACCUUUUCUUCAUCCCCCAACCAGAAUUAUGUUUUCUCCACUGUGUCUUAUAAUCGAUAUAAAACAACACACCAUGUAAA